Molecule: ribosomal RNA, 783 nt
Filed under: uncultured Solirubrobacterales bacterium
Lineage: Bacteria; Bacillati; Actinomycetota; Thermoleophilia; Solirubrobacterales
Description: bacterial SSU rRNA
Rfam family: Bacterial small subunit ribosomal RNA
Source: RNAcentral
AGAGUUUGAUCCUGGCUCAGGACGAACGCUUGCGGCGUGCCUAAUGUAUGCAAGUCGAGCGGGGAGCAAUCCCAGCGGCGAACGGUUGAGUAACACGUAGGCAACCUGCCGCGAAGUGGGGGACAACCCAUGGAAACGUGGGCUAAUACCGCAUGUGGCUGGAAGGAGCCUUCCUUCCAUGCUAAAGGAGCAAUCCGCUUCGCGAGGGGCCUGCGGCCUAUCAGCUUGUUGGUGAGGUAACGGCUCACCAAGGCGACGACGGGUAGCUGGUCUGAGAGGAUGAUCAGCCAGACAGGGACUGAGACACGGCCCAGACUCCUACGGGAGGCAGCAGUAGGGAAUCUUGCGCAAUGCGCGAAAGCGUGACGCAGCAACGCCGCGUGGGGGAAGAAGGCCUUCGGGUCGUAAACCCCUUUCAGGAGGGACGAAGCCCGGGCGGUGAAUAGCCGACCCGGGUGACGGUACCUCCAGAAGAAGCCCCGGCUAACUACGUGCCAGCAGCCGCGGUAAUACGUAGGGGGCUAGCGUUGUCCGGAAUCAUUGGGCGUAAAGAGCGCGUAGGCGGCCAGAUAAGUCCGGUGUGAAAGUCACAGGCUCAACCUGUGAAUGCCGCUGGAAACUGUCUGGCUAGAGUCCGGAAGGGGCGAGUGGAAUUCCUGGUGUAGCGGUGAAAUGCGCAGAUAUCAGGAGGAACACCAAUGGCGAAGGCAGCUCGCUGGGACGGUACUGACGCUGAGGCGCGAAAGCGUGGGGAGCAAACAGGAUUAGAUACCCCAGUAGUCC